RNAcentral lists this unclassified non-coding RNA (236 nucleotides) under Hevea brasiliensis (rubber tree). The record is from RNAcentral. Lineage: Eukaryota; Viridiplantae; Streptophyta; Magnoliopsida; Malpighiales; Euphorbiaceae.
CCAAGCUUAUGUAUCUAUUUUUGAAGUGUUUGGAUCAUCAUGUCCAAUGUCAAAGAUCUCCAGGGAAAAAAGAAGAAAUCUUAAGUUCAAAUGAGCACCAGGGAUAGAAUGAAAAUUGAAAUCAAGGCUCCAGAUAUCGUCUGCAGGGUGUUUCUGUGCUCGCCACCAUGGGAAGUGAUUCUCAAAUUUUUGUUGCCUGUCCAGCUGAGGCUUAUAUUUUUAUUCAUAAGAGACCU